RNAcentral lists this ribosomal RNA (460 nucleotides) under uncultured bacterium. RNAcentral's name for it is "partial 16S ribosomal RNA". It matches the Rfam family "Bacterial small subunit ribosomal RNA", at positions 338 to 795 of the family's 1533-position model. The record is from RNAcentral.
CCUACGGGUGGCAGCAGUGAGGAAUAUUGGUCAAUGGACGCAAGUCUGAACCAGCCAUGCCGCGUGCAUGAAGACGGCUCUAUGAGUUGUAAACUGCUUUUGUACGAGGGUAAACGCAGAUACGCGUAUCUGUCUGAAAGUAUCGUACGAAUAAGGAUCGGCUCACUACGUGCCAGCCGCCGCGGUACUACGGAGGAUUCAAGCGUUAUCCGGAUUUGUUUGGUUUAACGGGUGCGUAGGCGGUCGGAUAAGUUAGAGGUGAAAUCCCGAGGCUCAACUUCGGAAUUGCAUCUGAUACUGUUCGGCUAGAGAGUAGUUGCGGUAGGCGGAAUGUAUGGUGUAGCGGUGAAAUGCUUAGAGAUCAUACAGAACACCGAUUGCGAAGGCAGCUUACCAAGCUACUUCUGACGUUGAGGCACGAAAGCGUGGGGAGCAAACAGGAUUAGAUACCCCAGUAGUC